Molecule: transfer RNA, 66 nt
Filed under: Dipodomys ordii (Ord's kangaroo rat)
Lineage: Eukaryota; Metazoa; Chordata; Mammalia; Rodentia; Heteromyidae
Rfam family: tRNA
About the family: Transfer RNA (tRNA) molecules are approximately 80 nucleotides in length. Their secondary structure includes four short double-helical elements and three loops (D, anti-codon, and T loops).
Source: Rfam by way of RNAcentral
GGUAGGCUCAGCGGUAGAGUGCUUGCCUUGCAAGCAUGAGGUCCUGGGUUCGAUUCCUCAGCACCA